UCUGUAUCCUUGAAGGGUCUGCUGCAGCUCUGCUACAUGACAUCUGCAUCUUGGGACCCAGAGCGACGGAACAGCUUCACACAGGAACAUUACCAGUUGUCCUGGCAGAAAGAAAAGGGAGAAGUUUCUGCUUGAAGAAUCUAAGAGCCAUGAAGUCCAGGGACCAGAACUUUCCCCAGAGCCUACACAGGGACUGGAUUGUAAUAUACUCCAUAAAGGCUGAUCCUAUGCAGGUGGGCAAUACGAAAGGACACAUGAUUCACAUGGCCCCGGUUCUCAGAUUUGGCAGGUUCCAGGGCGUGGCCUGGACACCAGGAGUUUAAAUGCUCCCGGGUGGUUUGAAUGGACACUGAGGUGGAGGACCACUGAAGUACAGCAACUGUGAAUUAAAGAGCCGCUCUAGAACAACAUUUGUGUCUACGCUCCUGAGGAUACCUAGCAUUCAGGGCUGAAAUACCCAGGUGAUGACCAACCCCCGAGGGGCGGCCCCUGUUGUAAGACAGUGACCAGGGCUGGGGGCUCGGAGGCUGUGACCCGUAAGGAUUCAGGAACAGACUCUGUGCUGUGUAUUUGCUGCCGAGUGUGCUCACUCUCCAAGCCUUGAUAGCUGAGGUUUUCUGACACCGAAGAACCCUCUGAUGAGAAAUCGGAGGACUGACUAGUUGUGGGAAGUUUAUGGCAUGAAAACGAAGUUUUAAAAGACAAGCCAUCUCUAGCUGAUUUCCCAGGACUUUGCUAGAGUCAAGCAGUUGUCUUCAAGACUGGCCGUGAGAAUUCUGCCUCCGUGGUGACAGAGAAGACGAUGGGCUGAGUGCUUCCGGAGUCAAUACUUCCAAAAGCAGCUGAGGCUGCUGGCUCCAUCUGUACGUAAGUAGCUGUAAGAUAGUGAGCAGCUGACGGCAGUCUCGGGGAAGCCCAGCUCUCAGGCCACGGAGGCUGUGUCUCCCCGCUUGAGGUGGCGCACGAUGAAAGUCCCCAGGGCCCCCAGGGGGAUGCACAUGGUAGAGGAGGCCACGAGCAGCCCAAUGAUGGCCAGUGCAUACGGUGGGUAGUCCUUGGUCACAAGCUGGCCCUGAAGAAGGAACCUGAGUGUCAGAAGAAAGAACCUCCCGUGCGGAACCUUCUGAGGGCACCACCCCUCCAGGCCUCAGGCCCUCCGGCGGGAGGAAGAGAGCAUCUGCGGCCGGGCAUCCUUCCACCCGGGGCUGCCCCAGCUCUGCGUGCAGGUCACUAGUGGCUCUGCUGGGCAGACUAACUCCCCCUGUGCGUACUCUUUGGAGCUACCUGGAAAGAGCAACCAUGAGAAUAAUCCAAGGCUUAUGUUCAAGGCAGCAGCAGGGCACCUAAAUGUAGGGGCUACCCUUGCCCAGUGCUGUCCAAACACAGCAGCCACCGGCAUAGGUGGCCAUUGAGCACUGGGAAUGUGGCCGGUGAUGCGCAAGAAGUGAAUUUUAAAUUUUAAUUUUAAUGAGUUACAUUUCAAUAGCUACAUGUGGUUAUUAGCUUCUGUGUCCAGCAGCACAGCUCUCAUCUCACGAGAAGUGUUGAUGGACCUCAGGACUUAGGACUUAGUUGGAAGAAUGGUGGAUGUUUCCCUAAAUGCAAAACUGAUGAGAAACCAGUUGAGGCCCAAAAGCCAAUAAAUGCUACGCUACCUUUCCACAAAGGAACCAGAGGACAGCUAAGUCCAGGGAGCAGGCACUUGCUGUCAACCAGAGUACGUACGGUUUGUAAACCAAAAUGCCACAUGGAGUGUGGCCGCGGGAACCAGCCCACAGACUUCUGUUGCUCAUCUGUUGUUACUCUGUGUGAUGAGUACAGGAAUUGGGAGGAAACAUAAAUGAUUUUAGCAGUUUGACAGCAUAAUCCUUUGUCUGCUGAAUCUGAUACAUAUUGGGUGCUUGUAUUUGCUCUACCUUUUUUUUAAGGAAUUCACUGUUUGUUAAUUGCAUUUUCCAAAAGUAUCAGGCUGCAUGGCCUGGAGGAAACACCCUGCUCCUCCACUGCGGGGUGGGAAGCCCUGCUCGGCACCACUGCCAGAACCAGACGCAGGGGCGCCUUCCCAGCCGCGGUGCAGCGUGGAGUGUGUGGAUGGAGCACGGGCCCUGUGCACCCUGUCUGCACACUCCACACACACCAUAUGCUAAGGGGCAGCAUCUUCUACCCACAGGGAAAGAAAUCCAAAUUGGUCAGUUGUAUUACUUUCCUUAAAAAGUAAAUCUUUUUUAUGAGAGUGUGUCUGUGCAAGGACAGCCAAGGCUGACCCUCAGGCCCGGUGCAGUGAUACGGCUGUCCAGGUUGUUAAAACACUGAUGUGCUGCCCUCUGCUGGGUGAGCAGAUGCAGCCCAGCCUCCUGAGUGCCCCCCUCAGUCCCCCGUUCUGUCCUAGCAACUCCAGUGUAAACGCCAGUCCCUGCCCCGCCCAGCUCCUCAGGGGCCAUGCCCUCCAGCCUUGCUUGGCCUUUCCUGAGUGGCCUCAGUGGACAGAGGCCACCAGGAAGUUCUGGACGGAAUCUCACUCUCUUCACUGCAGCCCAUGUUGAAAAACUCACAGCCCAGCUCCGCUGUCCUGGGCUGAGUAUUUUUACAUACCUGGGUGAUGUUUCCAUGUUGUGACAAAUAACCUACCCCCACCCUGGAGAGAGUUCCUUGGUUUCAGCAAACUAGAGGUCCGUGCUCGCUCACGAGCCUGGGGCCCGAGAUGGCAGAUAGCUACCUGGGAGGCGUCCCAGGCUUGGUACUGCAGGGUCCCCGUGAUGAUGUAGUCACUCAGGUAGAAGACGAAGAGGCUGAUGAUGAGCAGCGGGCUCACGCCGCCCCACAUGGCCUUCCAGUACCAGUUCAGAGCGUGUCCAGUCAUAGCCUUCAGGUCGCUUUCGAAUCUGUUUGGAGGUGGGGAGAGAAAGCUUGGAUUAUCCAUGCUGUUGCAGCCAGACAGUCCAGGCCACACCUCCCCGUCUGCUCAGGAAGAUUCUGUGCUGGGCGCCACUGAUGUUUGAACACGACCA
Molecule: long non-coding RNA, 3008 nt
Organism: Balaenoptera ricei (Rice's whale)
Lineage: Eukaryota; Metazoa; Chordata; Mammalia; Artiodactyla; Balaenopteridae
Exons: 6
Source: RefSeq, a predicted model, not a curated record